This is a non-coding RNA of Caenorhabditis elegans, 21 nucleotides long. The record is from Ensembl. NCBI's taxonomy places the organism in Eukaryota, Metazoa, Nematoda, Chromadorea, Rhabditida, Rhabditidae.
UACUUGGGGUUCAGCAUUUAU